This 497-nucleotide ribosomal RNA is filed under the name uncultured bacterium. Its description in RNAcentral is "partial 16S ribosomal RNA". It matches the Rfam family "Bacterial small subunit ribosomal RNA", at positions 28 to 507 of the family's 1533-position model. The record is from RNAcentral.
GACGAACGCUGGCGGCGUGCCUAAUACAUGCAAGUAGAACGCUGAAGAGAGGAGCUUGCUCUUCUUGGAUGAGUUGCGAACGGGUGAGUAACGCGUAGGUAACCUGCCUGGUAGCGGGGGAUAACUAUUGGAAACGAUAGCUAAUACCGCAUGAAAUUGCUUAUCGCAUGAUAAUUGAUUGAAAGAUGCAAUUGCAUCACUACCAGAUGGACCUGCGUUGUAUUAGCUAGUUGGUGAGGUAACGGCUCACCAAGGCGACGAUACAUAGCCGACCUGAGAGGGGGAUCGGCCACACUGGGACUGAGACACGGCCCAGACUCCUACAGGAGGCAGCAGUAGGGAAUCUUCGGCAAUGGGGGGAACCCUGACCGGGCAACGCCGCGUGAGUGAAGAAGGUUUUCGGAUCGUAAAGAGCUGUUGUAAGGGAAGAACGGGUGUGAGAGUGGAAAGUUCACACUGUGACGGUAUCUUACCAGAAAGGGACGGCUAACUACGUG